GUGUCAGCCGCCGCGGUACUACGGAGGGGGCUAGCGUUGUUCGGAAUUACUGGGCGUAAGGGGCGCGUAGGCGGGCGCUUAAGUCGGGGGUGAAAUCCCGGGGCUCAACCCCGGAACGGCCUCCGAUACUGGGUGCCUUGAGGACGGGAGAGGUGAGUGGAAUUCCGAGUGUAGAGGUGAAAUUCGUAGAUAUUCGGAGGAACACCGGUGGCGAAGGCGGCUCACUGGCCCGAUCCUGACGCUGAGGCGCGAAAGCGUGGGGAGCAAACAGGAUUAGAUACCCUGGUAGUCCACGCCCUAAACGAUGAGUGCCAGUUGUGGGCGGGCAUGCCCGUCAGUGACGCAGCUAACGCUUUGAGCACUCCGCCUGGGGAGUACGGCCGCAAGGUUAAAACUUAAAUGAAUUGGCGGGG
Molecule: ribosomal RNA, 413 nt
Filed under: uncultured prokaryote
Description: bacterial SSU rRNA
Rfam family: Bacterial small subunit ribosomal RNA
Source: RNAcentral